GAUGAACGCUGGCGGCGUGCUUAACACAUGCAAGUCGAACGGAAAGGCCACAGCUUGCUGUGGUACUCGAGUGGCGAACGGGUGAGUAACACGUGGGUGAUCUGCCCUGUACUUCGGGAUAAGCUUGGGAAACUGGGUCUAAUACCGGAUAGGAAUCACAUGUGGGUGUGUGGUUGGAAAGCUUUUGCGGUAUGGGAUGAGCUCGCGGCCUAUCAGCUUGUUGGUGGGGUAAUGGCCUACCAAGGCGUCGACGGGUAGCCGGCCUGAGAGGGUGUACGGCCACAUUGGGACUGAGAUACGGCCCAGACUCCUACGGGAGGCAGCAGUGGGGAAUAUUGCACAAUGGGCGCAAGCCUGAUGCAGCGACGCCGCGUGGGGGAUGACGGCCUUCGGGUUGUAAACUCCUUUCGGGCGAAGCGAAAGUGACGGUACCUGGAUAAGAAGCACCGGCUAA
This 454-nucleotide ribosomal RNA is filed under the name uncultured bacterium. RNAcentral describes it as "bacterial SSU rRNA". It matches the Rfam family "Bacterial small subunit ribosomal RNA", at positions 28 to 500 of the family's 1533-position model. The record is from RNAcentral.